GAUGAACGCUGACAGAAUGCUUAACACAUGCAAGUCGAUGGGGAAGUGGGGCGUGCACCAUGGCUACCAUGUCGGACGGGUGAGUAACGCGUAAGGGACUUACCUGCAGGACUGGGAUAACAGGGGGAAACUCCUGGCAAGUCCGGAUAAUGUCAUGGAGCUGCAUGGCUUUAUGAUGCAAGGGGACGCCUGCGGAGAGGCUUGCGUACUGUUAGCUAGUUGGUGAGGUAAUGGCUCACCAAGGCGAAGAGACGUAGCCGGCCUGAGAGGGUAGACGGCCAAGAGGGCAAUGAGAGACGGCAGUGACUACUAUGGGAGGCAGCGGUGGAGAAUAAUGGAGCAUGGGCGCAUGUCUGAUGAAGGCCUUCUGUGUGUAAGAAGAAGGUUUUCGGAUAGUAAAGUGCUGUCAGAAGGCAAGAAGUAAGUGACGGUACCUGCAGAAGAAGCAACGGCUAAAUACGUG
RNAcentral lists this ribosomal RNA (463 nucleotides) under uncultured bacterium. Its description in RNAcentral is "partial 16S ribosomal RNA". It matches the Rfam family "Bacterial small subunit ribosomal RNA", at positions 28 to 507 of the family's 1533-position model. The record is from RNAcentral.